CGGCCUAUAGCUCAAUGGUAGAGCAACGCUCUUACAAAGCGAAGGUUUACGGUUCAAGUCCGUAUGGGCCGA
This 72-nucleotide transfer RNA is filed under the name Watanabea reniformis. Its description in RNAcentral is "tRNA-Val". It matches the Rfam family "tRNA". From Rfam's summary of the family: Transfer RNA (tRNA) molecules are approximately 80 nucleotides in length. Lineage: Eukaryota; Viridiplantae; Chlorophyta; Trebouxiophyceae; Watanabeales; Watanabeaceae. The record is from RNAcentral.